RNAcentral lists this transfer RNA (62 nucleotides) under Cyamophila willieti. RNAcentral describes it as "tRNA-Asn". Lineage: Eukaryota; Metazoa; Arthropoda; Insecta; Hemiptera; Psyllidae. The record is from RNAcentral.
UGUGUAAAAGUCAAAAAGAGACAAAUUAUUGUUAAUAAUUUUAAUGGUAACCCCUUACACAA